Molecule: ribosomal RNA, 253 nt
Filed under: uncultured bacterium
Lineage: Bacteria
Description: partial 16S ribosomal RNA
Rfam family: Bacterial small subunit ribosomal RNA
Source: RNAcentral
UACAGAGGGUGCAGGCGUUGUUCGGAAUUAUUGGGCGUAAAGGGAGUGUAGGCGGUCUUUUAAGUCUUCUGUGAAAUCUACGGGCUUAGCCUGUAACGUGCAGAGGAAACUGGAAGGCUUGAGUGUCGGAGAGGAUAGGGGAAUACCCAGUGUAGAGGUGAAAUUCGUAGAGAUUGGGUGGAACACCAGUGGCGAAGGCGCCUAUCUGGCUGACAACUGACGCUGAGACUCGAAAGCAUGGGGAGCAAACAGG